AAUAUUGGACAAUGGGCGAAAGCCUGAUCCAGCCAUGCCGCGUGUGUGAAGAAGGUCUUCGGAUUGUAAAGCACUUUAAGUUGGGAGGAAGGGCAGUAAGUUAAUACCUUGCUGUUUUGACGUUACUGCCAGAAUAAGAACCGCCUAACUACGUGCCAGCAGCCGCGGUAAGACGAAGGGUGCAAGCGUUAAUCGGAAUUACUGGGCGUAAAGCGCGCGUAGGUGGUUGUGUAAGUUGGAAGUGAAAGCCCCGGGCUUAACCUGGGAACUGCUUUCAUAACUGCUGAGCUAGAGUACGGUAGGGGGUAGUGGAAUUUCCUGUGUAGCGGUGAAAUGCGUAGAUAUAGGAAGGAACACCAGUGGCGAAGGCGACUACCUGGACUGAUACUGACACUGAGGUGCGAAAGCGUGGGGAGCAAAC
RNAcentral lists this ribosomal RNA (421 nucleotides) under uncultured bacterium. RNAcentral's name for it is "partial 16S ribosomal RNA". It matches the Rfam family "Bacterial small subunit ribosomal RNA", at positions 360 to 773 of the family's 1533-position model. The record is from RNAcentral.